RNAcentral lists this ribosomal RNA (253 nucleotides) under uncultured bacterium. RNAcentral's name for it is "partial 16S ribosomal RNA". It matches the Rfam family "Bacterial small subunit ribosomal RNA", at positions 524 to 776 of the family's 1533-position model. The record is from RNAcentral.
UACGUAGGGGGCGAGCGUUAUCCGGAUUCACUGGGUGUAAAGGGAGCGUAGACGGCCAUGCAAGCCAGGGGUGAAAGCCCGGGGCCCAACCCCGGGACUGCCCUUGGAACUGCAUGGCUGGAGUGCGGGAGGGGCAGGCGGAAUUCCUGGUGUAGCGGUGAAAUGCGUAGAUAUCAGGAGGAACACCGGCGGCGAAGGCGGCCUGCUGGACUGCGACUGACGUUGAGGCUCGAAAGCGUGGGGAGCAAACAGG